This 623-nucleotide ribosomal RNA is filed under the name uncultured bacterium. Its description in RNAcentral is "bacterial SSU rRNA". It matches the Rfam family "Bacterial small subunit ribosomal RNA", at positions 34 to 689 of the family's 1533-position model. The record is from RNAcentral.
CGCUGGCGGCGUGCCUAACACAUGCAAGUCGAACGAGAAAGUGGAGCAAUCCAUGAGUAAAGUGGCGACCGGGUGAGUAACACGUGACUAACCUGCCUUCGAGUGGGGGAUAACCUCGGGAAAGCGGGGCUAAUACCGCAUAAUGCCUUCGGGUUAAAGAAGCAAUUCGCUUGAAGAGGGGGUCGCGGCUGAUUAGCUAGUUGGUGAGGUAACGGCUCACCAAGGCGAUGAUCGGUAGCCGGCCUGAGAGGGCGCACGGCCGCACUGGAACUGAAACACGGUCCAGACUCCUACGGGAGGCAGCAGUGGGGAAUUUUGCGCAAUGGGGGAAACCCUGACGCAGCAACGCCGCGUGGAGGAUGAAGUCCCUUGGGACGUAAACUCCUUUCGAGCGGGACGAUGAUGACGGUACCGGUGGAAGAAGCCCCGGCUAACUUCGUGCCAGCAGCCGCGGUAAUACGAGGGGGGCAAGCGUUGUUCGGAAUUAUUGGGCGUAAAGGGCGCGUAUGCGGUGCGGUAAGUCACCUGUGAAACCUCUGGGCUUAACUCAGAGCCUGCAGGCGAAACUGCCGUGCUCGAGUGUGGGAGAGGUGCGUGGAAUUCCCGGUGUAGCGGUGAAAUGC